UAGAACAGGACAUGCGGUUUUGCGCUGAACGGGUCGCGCAGGACGCGCAGGUCCGGGCGCUCGGCCACAGUGUAACCGUUCGCGAAAUCGCCAAAGGCGACCGAGAACGACCCGCUGGCCACAUCCGGCAUGUCCUCGGCGAUCAGCACCGGGUAACCCAGCAGACGCGCCGGCUCGCCGGCGGCCAGGCCGUCCGACCACAGGAAGCGGCCGUCGCCGUCCUUGAGCUUGCGCACAACGCCGGCGGUCUUCGAGUUCAUCACGAAGGUCGCAUUGGCGCGGUACUGCGCACCCAGGGCGUAGACCAGUUCGAUGAUCGCAUCGCCCGUGCCGAUUCCGCCGUCCACGCCGGUCGGCACAUAGCCCAGGUUGCCCCAGGCCCAGACAUCGUUGUCGACGGCCGGGUGGGUCAGGAUGCCCAUGGGCUUGUCGAUGCCGUCACCCGACACAAAGGCCGCGGCCUCUGCCCGUGCGAACUUGUCGGCGAUGCGGCCGGCCAGCCAGCCUUCGAUGUCAAAUGCGCUGUCGUCCAGCAGACGCUGCGACGCCUUGGGCAGAGCGCUCAGCUCGUGCAGCGGAAUGGUGAUACGAUCGAUCGACGGGGUAUCGGUCUCGGCGAUGGAACCGGAUUCCGUCGCCCAGCCGGCACCGACAUCGGUAUGGUCGAUCAGCACGUCGAACGAGGUCGCCUCGACAUUGACCACCGAGGCCACGGCCCGCAGCGACGCGGUCGAAUACAGAGCCGACUUGAUGAUAUCGGCGGUCUGCGGAUCGACCAGAUAGCCA
RNAcentral lists this ribosomal RNA (786 nucleotides) under uncultured Rhodobacterales bacterium. Its description in RNAcentral is "partial 16S ribosomal RNA". Lineage: Bacteria; Pseudomonadati; Pseudomonadota; Alphaproteobacteria; Rhodobacterales. The record is from RNAcentral.